Molecule: unclassified non-coding RNA, 253 nt
Filed under: uncultured bacterium
Lineage: Bacteria
Description: contains 16S-23S intergenic spacer region
Rfam family: Bacterial small subunit ribosomal RNA
Source: RNAcentral
UACGAGGGGUGCAAGCGUUAUUCGGAAUUAUUGGGCGUAAAGGGUGUGCAGGCGGCAUGCUAAGUCAACUGUCUAAUUUCCCGGCCUAACUGGGAGUCGGCAGUAGAAACUGGUGUGCUAGAGUACGGAAGAGAGGAGUGGAAUUCUCGGAGUAGCGGUAAAAUGCGUAGAUCUCGAGAGGAACACCGAUGGCGAAGGCAGCUCCUUGGUCCGAUACUGACGCUGAGACACGAAAGCGUGGGGAGCACACAGG